AUACUUAUCUGAUGGGGAGACACCAGGGUCAGGAAGGUGGUUUUCCCAGGGCUCAUACAUUGCACUCUGGCCGUGCCAACCCCUGUGAUUUCCUUAAAUGUGGGAAAGUAGAAUAAAUAAUUUGUGGCUGUUAGUAACUGUGUCCCUGCUCUCCCCUAAU
Molecule: small nuclear RNA, 160 nt
Organism: Nannospalax galili (Upper Galilee mountains blind mole rat)
Lineage: Eukaryota; Metazoa; Chordata; Mammalia; Rodentia; Spalacidae
Gene: U1
Rfam family: U1 spliceosomal RNA
About the family: U1 is a small nuclear RNA (snRNA) component of the spliceosome (involved in pre-mRNA splicing).
Source: Ensembl